CCCCUAGCCAAGGGAAGCCACGAGGGA
RNAcentral lists this non-coding RNA (27 nucleotides) under Homo sapiens (human). The record is from RNAcentral. Lineage: Eukaryota; Metazoa; Chordata; Mammalia; Primates; Hominidae.